Long non-coding RNA from Bos taurus (domestic cattle), 820 nucleotides. NCBI's taxonomy places the organism in Eukaryota, Metazoa, Chordata, Mammalia, Artiodactyla, Bovidae. The record is from Ensembl.
UCCCCCCAGCGUCCACAUCCCAAGUUCAUCCCCAAACCCCUCCCCUCAAAAUAACUGAUGGAAAAACACUCCUCUUUCCAAACCAAAAAUCACCUCCUCUUUUGGAUAAAUGUGUUUUCCUAAAAUGUGGGAAGAAUUUGGUCACCAACUAAUUCAACGGACUCCAGGAUUCAAGGGUGAAGCCCCAGGAGAGACCCUUCAGCAAACUCCAAAAACUGCAAACCAGCUGACAGAGAAUCCCAGGCUGGAAGCAGCAGCAGCGUGCUUACCCCAAGAUGAGCAAGCUCAACAGAGGACCCAGACAGACCACCGUCCGCACUUCUGGGCGUCACAUCCGUGUCGAGUGUCCGGGCUGUGUCUCGGCGCUACUGCCGACCCGGGUGUGAGGGGAACACUGUCGGUGCCCUGAAAAUAGCAGGAAUCACACUGCUGCCCUGCAAGCCUGCGGCUCUUAAUCUUCUUAAAAUGCUUCCUCUGAAAGUCACUUGCCAAGCAGCAGCUUCACAAAUACUAUGAGGCCCCCAGGGAACGUUUCCAGGGUCACCACUACCUAAGUGGCAGGGGGUUGAAAAUGAUGGCCGUGUGGUCUGGUCUGAAUGCAGGCAGGGAAGCUUCCUUUGCGCACACGUUCAAAUGUCCACAAUCUCAGAGUUAGCUGGAAGUGCCUUACUUCACAAGGGUUAGCAUUUAAUACUCUUAAAAAAAAAAAAAAGCCACUCGAAGCACAUUUUGAAACUUCCACAUUAAAAAGAUCCUUGUUCAUUGAUUUUGGUGGGAUAACUAAGCUAAUCUAAACAAGGGGACCUUGUGCGGGCAGGGG